Molecule: transfer RNA, 72 nt
Filed under: Pseudobacteroides cellulosolvens ATCC 35603 = DSM 2933
Lineage: Bacteria; Bacillati; Bacillota; Clostridia; Eubacteriales; Oscillospiraceae
Description: Bacteroides cellulosolvens ATCC 35603 tRNA
Rfam family: tRNA
About the family: Transfer RNA (tRNA) molecules are approximately 80 nucleotides in length.
Source: Rfam by way of RNAcentral
CGGUAAGUAGCUUAACGGUAAAGCUCCAUGCUGAUAACGUGGAGAGUGGGAGUUCGAUUCUCUCCUUACCGA